RNA transcript from Bubalus bubalis (water buffalo), 5628 nucleotides. It is a transcript of the gene named zinc finger and SCAN domain containing 12, with no coding region annotated. The transcript is spliced from 6 exons. The record is from RefSeq and is a predicted model, not a curated record. NCBI's taxonomy places the organism in Eukaryota, Metazoa, Chordata, Mammalia, Artiodactyla, Bovidae.
AUGAAAGUGAAAAGUGAAAGUGAAGUCGCUCAGUCGAGUCGGACUCUUUUUAUUAAAUUAUCUUUUAGUUUUCCCAUUGAACUCUAUGGGUUUUCAGAUGUAUAUCCAUUAUCAUUAGCGCAUAAAAGGGAACUGCAGAAGGUGAAAAAGUAAGCAGAAACUGCCAGGUUGACCCUUGAGAAGUGUGUAGAAGAGGUCCCCUCCUGAGUCUGGAAGACCUCAGGAGAAAUCCCUUUGAGACAUCUUUAGUAUCAAGGGUGCUGAAACCCAAAUAAACGUGAGUGGAAAAGCAUAGGAUUUACCUAGCUCAGAUAGGCUUGCCAUGCCUCGACCACCCAUCAGCUGGGAGGAAUGGGGAUACUAGCAAGCGGAAGACUAGCAGAAGGCGAAAACUAUCGUGAAACUGCGGGCCUGUGAAUCCUCCGUAGUCACCUCUCGAGAGUGCACGGGAGAACUACCGAGUAGCGAGCUCACUCUUCCUAGAGUGGCGGCGGAAGUGACCAGAUGUUCCGUACUCCUCGGCCGCUUCCGGCUUUUGUGGGUCGCUCUUGGUGGGUUCCGGUUCGGAAACCGUUCGAGACUUCACCCCCUUGAAUCCGGGAGGGAAACUUCUGCUGGCCUCCUGGGGCUACGGUUGAGCGAGCUUUUGCUGCGGACGCGGCGGGUGGGCUGCUGGCCGUCCUCGGGCCAGGCUGGAGCGGGGCGUCCUCUGGUGCUAACUUGCCCAGUUCCAGCCAGAAAGAAACGACACAGGAGAUUUUGCUUGAAGCAUUGAUAAGCUUUUGUAUAGCAAUGAUGGCAUAUACUUGGUCUAUCCAGGCCAAGAAAGACCAGGAAGAACUUUUGGAAGUAAAGAUAGAAGAAGAGGAGCUGGAGGAGGAGCAUAAAUAUGCCACUACACAGGAUCAGAACCUGCAAAAGAACAACACCCACAGCAGGGAGGUCUUCCGACGGUACUUCAGGCAGUUCUGCUACCAGGAAACAUCUGGGCCCCGUGAGGCUUUGAGCCGACUCCGGGAACUUUGCCAUCAGUGGCUGAAGCCAGAGACCCACACCAAAGAGCAGAUUCUGGAACUGCUGGUGCUGGAGCAAUUCCUGACCAUCUUGCCUGAGGAGCUCCAAGCCUGGGUCCAGGAACAGCAUCCAGAGAGUGGGGAAGAGGUGGUGACUGUGCUGGAGGAUUUAGAGAGAGAGUUGGAUGAGCCAGGAUAUCAGGUCUCAGUCCGCAGUGAGGAACAGGAAAUGUUCUUACAGGAGAUCGUACCUCUAAGAACAGAACAGGAACCCAGAAUGUGCCUUCUGUCUGUGCAAGCCCAGCCAAAGUGUGAAUCUGCAGAACUUGAAGCCCAACAGAAGCAAGAUAUUGAGACUAGAAAUGAGCAUAGGAAUUUAAAGCACGAAGUUUCUCCAGAAAUGAAACAAUAUGGGAAUAUAGCUAGCAAAUUUGAAAAUGAAAUGUCUCAACCAGCUAGGUAUGAAAAAACAUAUGAAUCUGAAGAAAAAACAGGAGAGUCUUCUGAAUAUUCAAGGGAAGAUAAAGAACCUACAUGUGAUAAAAAUGGAGUAAGUUUGACUGAGAACUUAGAUCUUUCUAAACACCAGAGAAUUUGUCCAGGAGAAAAACCUUAUGUAUGUGAUGUCUGUGGAAGAGCUUUUAGUCAACACUCAUGUUUCGUAGAACAUCAGAGGAUCCAUACUGGAGACAGGCCCUACAAAUGCAAAGAAUGUGGAAAAACUUUCCGUGGGAGAACUGUGCUUAUUCGACACAAAAUAAUACACACAGGAGAGAAACCCUAUAAAUGUAAUGAGUGUGGCAAAGCCUUUGGCCAGUGGUCAGCUCUUAAUCAACAUCAGAGACUUCACACAGGAGAGAAACACUACCACUGUAAUGAAUGUGGCAAAGCCUUUAGCCAGAAAGCAGGCCUCUUUCACCAUCUCAAAAUCCACACAAGAGAUAAACCUUAUCAUUGUACUCAGUGUAAUAAAAGUUUUAGUCGGCGUUCAAUUCUUACCCAACAUCAAGGAGUUCAUACUGGGGCAAAGCCCUAUGAGUGCAGUGAGUGUGGAAAAGCCUUUGUUUAUAACUCCUCCCUUGUUUCCCAUCAGGAGAUCCACCACAAAGAAAAAUGCUAUCAGUGUAAGGAAUGUGGGAAGUCCUUCAGUCAGAGUGGCCUUAUUCAGCAUCAGAGAAUCCACAAUGGAGAGAAACCCUACAAGUGUGAUGUAUGUGGAAAAGCCUUUAUUCAGAGGACAAGUCUUAUAAAACAUCAACGAAUUCACACUGGAGAGAGACCCUAUAAAUGUGAUAAGUGUGGGAAGGCUUUCACUCAAAGAUCAGUCCUCAAGGAACAUCAGAAAAUGCACACCGGAGAGAGGCCCUAUAAAUGCGAUGGGUGUGGGAAUGCCUUCCGAGAAAUCACGAGCCUCAUUCAGCAUCAGAGAAUCCACACUGGGGAGAAACCCUACCAAUGUGAUGAAUGUGGCAAAGCCUUCAGACAGAGGAAGAAGACUAGCUACAAGGAAAUACUUCUGAAAAAUCAAUGUGAACCACAAGCUGGAGUGAAUCUUCUUCUGAGCUCGCUUAUUCCAGAAUGGCAGUCCUCUUGCAGAAAAGACCUCUACUAGUGACUGAUGGUAGAGGGCAGGGUUGUGCCUGUCCAAGAAUCAGACUGGCACAGCAAAAUCUUUCUUCAAAUUUUAAGUUGUUGCUACCAGGAAAUAGAUACUUGAGCCUCACAGGUCUGUCAGAAGAUGGGUAGCUCUGCCCACAGAUUCAGAGAGCAGAGAUGCAGACCGAGGAGCAGGUGCUAAAGCAGGUCCUGACCUCUGCCUGGAGAACUGCAGACCUAGGGAGGAUAAUAUCAUCCAGAAUGUGGAAAAAAAUUAUGCUGGAGAAGUUAAAGAGACAGCUUGAUGGACAAGCCUUAAAGCGGGAAGGGUUGGGAGGAUGAUUUAUGGCUUGAGUAGUGAAAGGAAUAACAUAGAAAGCAGCAAAACCGAACUAAAGGACCCAUCAGAUGUAUUUGGAGCCAUAACUCUGUAUCACCUUCAUGGGCUUUAAUUCCCCUGGCUAUUCAUGUACACCUCUGGAACCUUCUCUCUCUAUAUUGGGUUUUUAUUGUUGUUGGUGGUGUAUGAGUAUUUUUACUGAGGGACUAGCUUCAUAUUCAAUUUUCCAAGACCAUCUCUUCAUCCCAUUGCUUUUAGGGUCCAGGUAGAACAAGGAUAGAACAAGAUACACUUUUGGCAAGAUAGUACCCUGGAAUCAGAAGUGUCACGUCCAGCCUGUUAAAAUGCUUAGUUUUACUCUCACAGUAUUGCCUUAUGAAGUGAAAAGCAGAUGAGAAAGCAAAUCUCCUGAGAAAGAAGACAUCUUUGAAAGGCAGCUUUUUAGAACUAUUAUGGAGUUACUGAGAAUGAAAAUAAGGACUUGUCUCCAACACAUAUAAAAAUCUGAAGAUGCUGUAAUGUGGGGGGAGUCUGCAGAAUUACACCAGUGCAGUAAGUUAGUAAAAGUUUUAGUCACUGGUGAGUCAUUACUCACCAUUAGGGAACACAUAUCAAAGAAAAUGCUUGAGAACAACAUGUUUGUAAAGGCUUUUGUUUACAGUGGGUCCCUCCUUUCCCACUAGGAAAUCUAUCACAAAGGAAAUGCUGUCAGUAUAAAGAAUGUGGGAAAGCCAUAUUUGACUUUAGAAAAUCUGCAAAAGCGAGAAACCGCAUACAUGUGAUGACUGUAAGGAGGCCUUCAUUCAUCAUGGAAACCUUCUAGAACAUUAUGUGAAGGAAGCAAAAAGAAAGGCCUUCAGCCAGAAGUCAAAACUGACUGCACUAUAGAUUCUACAUGGGAGACAGAUCUACUAAAUGUGAUGAAUAUGGAAAUGUUUUCCAUGGAAUCAUAGCAUUAUUCAGCAUUGGGGAGAAGAUCACACUAAAGAAAAACUGAGUGUCAUGGGUUUGGAAAAGUCUUCAGAGGUUGGACCUUAGAAAAUAUCAGGGAGUCCAUAUUAGAGAGGCUCUUAUAAAUGAGAAGAUUGUAGGAAGUUAUAUGGACAGAUAUCAAGCCUCAACAAUAGAGUCUCCAUGAUACUGGAAAAUUCAUAUAAUUAAUGUAAAUGGGCAAGAUGUAUGGGGAAUGGAUAUCUUAAAUUGCCCAUUGUAGCCACAAAGAACAUUCAGUGAAUUUCUCAAGUCAAGAAAAGGGAAAGUCAUAAGUUCUUUUUGCUCCUGAAAGGUCUAUAAAUAUGAACAAUCAGGAGUUUUGAAAUGAAGAUGUUUACCUGCAUCCCUGGACUUGUGCUACUGUCUCUAAGAUGACUGUUGGGGACAUGGUAUUUUGCCAUGCCCACUCUAAUCUCACAUCUUAAAUUCAUUCAAGUGUAGAUAAUAUUGUCUACUGCUUGUUGUAAAUUAAUUUUUAUGGGCUAAAUAGGCUUGUAUGAGUACCCCAGGACAUAAAAAUGACAUUUUUAAAGCUUCAGUAAGCAUAGUAAAAGGAACCACGUCAUUGAAUUGUUAGUACUUUUUAAAAUUUGGCAUUGCUUCUGUGUUCUAACACAAGGCCAUAGAGGUGUUGAUCACAGAGUAUAUAUUUCCCAGCUUGGUUUUUUUUUUAAAGAUAGAAAGUGAUAUUUCACAUAUAGCUUUGACAGAUAAUAGGUUAUUUUCUUUUAUAGAUAACACAAUAUAAUAUCCUGGAGGCUAAUAUUUUGAAGUAACAUUACUUUCAGUUCUAAAACCUACAGGAUAAAAGAGGAAAUAAUCUAAGCUGUUCUUCAGCAAUUUGGCAGUAUAGCCCAAUCUCUAUGAGAAUGAAGCUUAUGGAUUUUAUAGUAGGUCAUUAAAUAUAGGAACCACAGAUUUCAAAAAAUUGCAAUGAUUAUUUCACAGUUAGGAGUUUAUAUCUGCUGCAAAUGCCUGAAUUUUCUGAGUAGAUACUAUAGUCACUUAUUUUAAAAGACAGACUGCAUUCUAUUAAAGACUUUUUCAGCAUUAUAGAAACUACAUUUUCCACUUAAUUUUAUUAUCACCUUGUAUUACAUGAAAGGAUUUCCUAAUAUUGAACCAACCUUGCAUUCCUGGAAUAAAUUUCACUUAGUCACGGUGUUUUCUUAAUGUGUUAAUGGGUUCUACUUGCUAAUACUUUAUUUAGUGUAUUUUUACUCAGUAUUCAUAUAAAAAGGUGUCAUCUUUUAGAUCUGUCAUUUUAUUCUACAUUCAUGGUUAGGUUUUAAUUUUACUACAUCAUAAAAAAAACUUUAAGUUUUUGUUCUUUUUUGUUUGUUUUUAAUGUUCUAGUACCAUUUGUAAAGCAUUGAAAUUAUCUUGUAUUUGAAAGUUGAAUUCUGAUGUAAAACUAUCUGGGGCGGGUGCUUUUUUGUGGGAAAAAAUGCUAUUUAUGUAAUUGAAAUCAUACAGAGUAUAUUCUUUGACCAUAAUGGUACCAAACUAUGAAAUAACAGUAAGACAACAGAAAACUCUCCAAACAUUUGGAAACUAAGGAAAAUAUUUCUAAAUAAUGCCCUGGUCAGGAAGGAACUCUCAAAGGAAUUUUAAAAUACAUAAAUUGAAGGGAAAUAAGUACAACCUAUGACAAGAUGUGAGACACAGCUAAAGAAAUGUUGAGAA